GGAGAGGUGCCGGAGCGGUCGAACGGGGCGGUCUCGAAAACCGUUGGGCGUGCAAGCGUCCCGUGGGUUCGAAUCCCACCCUCUCCGCCA
Molecule: transfer RNA, 90 nt
Filed under: uncultured Alphaproteobacteria bacterium
Lineage: Bacteria; Pseudomonadati; Pseudomonadota; Alphaproteobacteria
Description: tRNA-Ser
Rfam family: tRNA
About the family: Transfer RNA (tRNA) molecules are approximately 80 nucleotides in length. Their secondary structure includes four short double-helical elements and three loops (D, anti-codon, and T loops).
Source: RNAcentral